This 379-nucleotide ribosomal RNA is filed under the name uncultured eukaryote. RNAcentral's name for it is "partial 18S ribosomal RNA". It matches the Rfam family "Eukaryotic small subunit ribosomal RNA", at positions 592 to 975 of the family's 1831-position model. The record is from RNAcentral.
CAAUAGCGUAUAUUAAAGUUGUUGCGGUUAAAAAGCUCGUAGUUGGAUUUCUGCCGAGGACGUCCGGUCCGCCCUCUGGGUGAGUACAUGGCACGGCCUGGGCAUCUUCUUGGGGAACGUAUCUGCACUUGACUGUGUGGUGCGGUAUCCAGGACUUUUACUUUGAGGAAAUUAGAGUGUUUCAAGCAGGCACACGCCUUGAAUACAUUAGCAUGGAAUAAUAAGAUAGGACCUCGGUUCUAUUUUGUUGGUUUCUAGAGCUGAGGUAAUGAUUAAUAGGGAUAGUUGGGGGCAUUCGUAUUUAACUGUCAGAGGUGAAAUUCUUGGAUUUGUUAAAGGCGGACUACUGCGAAAGCAUUUGCCAAGGAUGUUUNCAUUG